RNAcentral lists this ribosomal RNA (608 nucleotides) under Ilybius pseudoneglectus. RNAcentral describes it as "partial 16S ribosomal RNA". It matches the Rfam family "Bacterial large subunit ribosomal RNA", at positions 1852 to 2748 of the family's 2925-position model. Lineage: Eukaryota; Metazoa; Arthropoda; Insecta; Coleoptera; Dytiscidae. The record is from RNAcentral.
GUUUGACCUGCCCACUGAUUUAUUUUUGAAGGGCCGCAGUAAUUUGACUGUGCAAAGGUAGCAUAAUCAUUAGUUUUUUAAUUAAAAGCUUGUAUGAAGGGUUGGACGAGGUAAAUUCUGUCUCUAUUUAAUUUAUUAUAGAAUUUAAUUUUUAAGUUAAAAAGCUUAAAUUUGAUUAAAAGACGAGAAGACCCUAUAGAUCUUUAUAUUAUUUUUAUUAAUCUUAAUUAAGAUUAUUUAAUUUUUUAAUAAAUUUAAUAUUUUAUUGGGGUAAUAAAAAGAUUAGAUUAAUUCUUUUUAAAAAUUUACAUUAAUAAAUGAGUUUAUGAUCCAAUAUUAUUGAUUAAAAGAUUAAGUUACCUUAGGGAUAACAGCGUAAUAUUUUUAGAGAGUUCAUAUCGAUAAAAAAGUUUGCGACCUCGAUGUUGGAUUAAAAAUUAUUUUAGGUGCAGAAGCUUAAAAUUUUGGUCUGUUCGACCAUUAAAUUUUUACAUGAUCUGAGUUCAGACCGGCGUAAGCCAGGUCGGUUUCUAUCUUUAAUAAAUUUUAAUAUUUUAGUACGAAAGGACCAGAUAUUAGAUAUUUAUAUAUUUAAUAAUUUUGAAUAU